UAGGGAAUCUUCCGCAAUGGACGAAAGUCUGACGGAGCAACGCCGCGUGAGUGAAGAAGGAUUUCGGUUCGUAAAACUCUGUUGUUAGGGAAGAAAAAAUGUAUAGUAACUAUAUACAAAAGAGACGGUACCUAACCAGAAAGCCACGGCUAACUACGUGCCAGCAGCCGCGGUAAUACGUAGGUGGCAAGCGUUGUCCGGAAUUAUUGAGCGUAAAGCGCGCGCAGGUGGUUUAGAAAGUCUGAUGUGAAAGCCCACGGCUCAACCGUGGAGGGUCAUUGGAAUCUAAUAAACUUGAGUGCAGGAGAGAAAAGUGGAAUUCCUAGUGUGGCGGUGAAAUGCGUAGAGAUUAGGAGGAACACCGGUGGCGAAAGCGGCUUUUUGGCCUGCAACUGACACUGAGGCGCGAAAACGUGGGGAGCAAACAGG
This 429-nucleotide ribosomal RNA is filed under the name Verrucomicrobiota bacterium. RNAcentral's name for it is "Verrucomicrobia bacterium partial 16S ribosomal RNA". It matches the Rfam family "Bacterial small subunit ribosomal RNA", at positions 355 to 776 of the family's 1533-position model. The record is from RNAcentral. Lineage: Bacteria; Pseudomonadati; Verrucomicrobiota.